UUCUGUUCCACAGCUGUGAACAUCAUGUUUCAGUCAUAGUUCUCAGCAUCUGGAAGUAUGACAGGUUUGCACGUUCGAUGUUUAAAAUAUCCUGAACAUCCAGGUGAUGAAAUCCUGAGUGCUGGGGACAAUUAAGGACCUUCGGGAAUCAAGGUUGAUGUCUAUGCUGCUCUCAGGGACGUUGACAAAAGCUCUUGGCCUGGGAGAGAUGAUGUUAAAAUUGCCUGCCUCCCUAGGCCACCUGCUCUCUCCAACAUCUGCCGAGAAUCUGGCUCUGAGGCUCCGGCAGCUCCAGGGCAGUGUGCACCGCACGGGACGGGUGUCAACGCUGCAGACAACUGCCCCACACGGGGCACGCUCAGGGGAGCUGCGCUGCAGCCUCGUCAGCUUCCAGGCUCUUCCAGGCUGUCCCUGUUUUUAGAGGGACGACUGAGGAUGCUUGGGACUCACUUCCUUAAUAAGGAUUUCCAGUUGCCCAAACUGACGAGACUUUAUGCUGUGUCCAGCACAAAGAGUGCAUGCAAACUGGUGGUGAGGACACUGCCCUUAUUCAACCCAUGCCACUCUCAGCACCGAUCCUCUGCGCCUCAAUCAGCAGAGCCCAUGGAGCUGCUCAUCUCUCCUCUCUCUUUUAUCCUCCUUGAACAGCAGGCGGGGACGGUUGGGAUUUGUUACAAAAAUAGGAACAACUACCCAGGAGGCUGAGGCGGGAGGAUUGAUUGAGUCCAGGAGGUCGAGGUUGCCGUGACCUGGAUCACACCAUGGCACUCCGACCUGGGCAACAGAGCGAGACCCUGUGUCAAAGAAAAUAAAGACAAAAAUAGGAAC
RNAcentral lists this long non-coding RNA (828 nucleotides) under Homo sapiens (human). RNAcentral describes it as "HSALNT0131413". Lineage: Eukaryota; Metazoa; Chordata; Mammalia; Primates; Hominidae. The record is from RNAcentral.